AUACGUAGGGGGCGAGCGUUGUCCGGAAUGACUGGGCGUAAAGGGCGCGUAGGCGGCCUGGUAAGUUAGGAGUGAAAUUCCAUUUUUCAAGGAUGGACGUGCUCUUAAUACUGUCGGGCUAGAGUGCAGAAGAGGUAAGCGGAAUUCCCAGUGUAGCGGUUAAAUGCGUAGAGAUUGGGAAGAACACCAGUGGCGAAGGCGGCUUACUGGGCUGUAACUGACGCUGAGGCGCGAAAGCGUGGGGAGCGAACAGGAUUAGAUACCCUGGUAGUCCACGCUGUAAACGAUGAAUGCUAGGUGUAGGGGGUAUCGACCCCUCCUGUGCCGGAGUAAACGCAAUAAGCAUUCCGCCUGGGGAGUACGGCCGCAAGGUUGAAACUCAAAGGAAUUGACGGGG
This 397-nucleotide ribosomal RNA is filed under the name uncultured bacterium. Its description in RNAcentral is "partial 16S ribosomal RNA". It matches the Rfam family "Bacterial small subunit ribosomal RNA", at positions 523 to 918 of the family's 1533-position model. The record is from RNAcentral.